ACUCCUACGGGAGGCAGCAGUGGGAAUAUUGGACAAUGGGAACCGUAGCAUCAGCCAUGCCGCGCUGUGUGAAGAAGGCCUUCGGGUUGUAAAGCACUUUCAGUGGGGAGGAAAGGUUGCAGGUUAAUACCCUGUAGCUGUGACGUUACCCACAGAAGAAGCACCGGCUAACUCCGUGCCAGCAGCCGCGGUAAUACGGAGGGUGCAAGCGUUAAUCGGAAUUACUGGGCGUAAAGCGUGCGCAGGCGGUCUGUUAAGCGAGAUGUGAAAG
Molecule: ribosomal RNA, 271 nt
Filed under: uncultured bacterium
Lineage: Bacteria
Description: partial 16S ribosomal RNA
Rfam family: Bacterial small subunit ribosomal RNA
Source: RNAcentral